Molecule: ribosomal RNA, 468 nt
Filed under: uncultured bacterium
Lineage: Bacteria
Description: partial 16S ribosomal RNA
Rfam family: Bacterial small subunit ribosomal RNA
Source: RNAcentral
GACGAACGCUGGCGGCGGGCUUAACACAUGCAAGUCGAACGGAAAGGCCCUGCUUUUGUGGGGUGCUCGAGGGGCGAACGGGGGAGUAACACGUGAGUAACCUGCCCUUGACUUUGGGAUAACUUCAGGAAACGGGGGCUAAUAUCGGAUAGGAGCUCCUGCUGCAGGGUGGGGGGUGGAAAGUUUCGCCGGUCGUGGAUGGAUGAGCGGCUUAUCGGCUUGUUGGUGGGGUAGUGGCUGACCAAGGCAUUGACGGGUCGCCGGCCUGAGAGGGGGACCGGGCCCCAUGGGCCUGCGAUACGCCGCAGUCUGCUACGUUGGACAGCAGUGGCGAAUAUUACCCAAUGGGCGGACGCCUGUUGCGGCAACGCCGCGGUCGUGAUGACGGCCUUCGGGUAGUAAACCGCUUUAGCUUGUGACGCCGCUUUUGUGACGGUACUGGGUAAAGAAGCACCGGCUAACUACGUG